Molecule: ribosomal RNA, 447 nt
Filed under: uncultured bacterium
Lineage: Bacteria
Description: partial 16S ribosomal RNA
Rfam family: Bacterial small subunit ribosomal RNA
Source: RNAcentral
AAUGUACGCUGGCGGCAGGCCUAACACAUGCAAGUCGAACGCCCCGCAAGGGGAGUGGCGCACGGGUGAGUAACGCGUGGGAAUAUGCCCUUCGGUUCGGAAUAACACAGGGAAACUUGUGCUAAUACCGGAUACGAUCUACGGAUGAAAGAUUCAUCGCCGAAGGAGUAGCCCGCGUAGGAUUAGCUAGUUGGUGAGGUAAUGGCUCACCAAGGCGACGAUCCUUAGCUGGUCUGAGAGGAUGAUCAGCCACACUGGGACUGAGACACGGCCCAGACUCCUACGGGAGGCAGCAGUGGGGAAUAUUGGACAAUGGGCGAAAGCCUGAUCCAGCCAUGCCGCGUGAGUGAUGAGGGCCUUAGGGUUGUAAAGCUCUUUCGCCAGGGAAGAUAAUGACGGUACCUGGAAAAGAAGCCUCGGCUAACUCCGUGCCAGCCGCCGCGGUAA